Molecule: non-coding RNA, 104 nt
Organism: Capsicum annuum
Lineage: Eukaryota; Viridiplantae; Streptophyta; Magnoliopsida; Solanales; Solanaceae
Source: Rfam
UAUUAAUGGUGUGGACAUUCCCAAAGAAGAACCUUGAAACCCUCACAAGCAUGAUAUAAGUUUUUAUCUGGCUUCUAUUUAAAGCACACAAUCUCACUUCAAUG